Molecule: ribosomal RNA, 1303 nt
Filed under: Hestiasula sp. FS-2017
Lineage: Eukaryota; Metazoa; Arthropoda; Insecta; Mantodea; Hymenopodidae
Description: 16S ribosomal RNA
Rfam family: Archaeal large subunit ribosomal RNA (bases 1056-1214)
Source: RNAcentral
AAUUAAUAUUAUUGUUAUUUUUAUUAAAUUUUAUGUAAAUAUUAAAUUAAGUAAAUUGAAGUUUUUGUAAAAUAAAUAGAUAUAAUUUUAUUUACUAUAGUGUAUAGUACUGUAAAGGAAUUUGAAUUGAAUAUUAUAAAUGGUUUAAGGUAAUUUAAUUAAUUGUAUCUUGUGUAUUAGAGUAUAUCAAAAUGAAUUAUAAAUUUUUUUUCUUGAAUUUAAAAGAUUUAAUUAAAUAUAUUAGUUAUUGUAUUAUAAAUAUUAAUAAUUUUUAAUUGGUAAUGAAAUGUUAAUCGUUUUUAAGGAUAUCUAGUUUUUUAAUAAAUGAAUUUAAUUCAGAGGAUAUGAAUUAUUUAAUAUUUUGGUAUUGAAAUAUUUCUUGUUCUUAAUUUUAAAGGGGAAUAACUUUUUAAAAUAAAAUUAUAAUAAUUAUUUUAUGAGGAUUUUAUAAAUUUAGAAUUUGUUAUUGAUUAAAGGAUGUUAAAAUUUAAUUCUUGUUUUGUUUUAAUUUUUAAUUGUUAUUUAAUGUAUAUAUUAAAAUACUUAAUAAAAUUAAAUAUUUUUUGGAAGUAUGAUUUAAUUAGUAAAUUAUAAUGUUUAGUUAAUUUGUUAAUGAAAAUUUUAAUGUGAAGAAUUAGGCAAAUUAUUUACUUACCUGUUUAUUAAAAACAUGGUUUCUUGAUUAUUUAAGAAAUCUGGCCUGCCCACUGAAAGAUUUUAAAGGGCCGCAGUAUAUUGACUGUGCAAAGGUAGCAUAAUCAUUAGUCUUUUAAUUGAAGGCUGGUAUGAAUGGUUGGAUAAGGUAAAUUCUGUUUUAUAUUAAUUUAAUUGAAUUUAGAUUUUAAGUAAAAAGACUUAAAUUUAAUUAAGGGACGAGAAGACCCUAUAGAGUUUAAUAAAUGAAUUAAUUAAUUGAGUUAAUAAAUAAUUUUUAAUUAUUAUGAAAUUUAUUUGAUUGGGGUGAUUAAAAGAUAAAAAUAACUCUUUUUUAAUUUUAAUAUUGUUAUUAGUUAUAUGAUCCAUUUUUAAUGAUUAUAAGAUUUAAUUACCUUAGGGAUAACAGCAUAAUUUCUUUUAAGAGUUCAUAUUGAAAAAGAAGAUUGUGACCUCGAUGUUGGAUUAAGAUUAAUUUUAGGUGCAGAUGUUUAAAAAUUAGGUCUGUUCGACCUUUAAAAUCUUACAUGAUCUGAGUUUAAACCGGCGUGAGCCAGGUUGGUUUCUAUCUUUAAUUUUAUUAAGUAUUUUAGUACGAGAGGACCAGAUAUUUAAAAUAAUUUUUAUUUUUAAUGAAUAUUUUUAAUUA